UUCGAUCGUGGCUCAGGAUGAACGCUGGCUCCCUGCCUAAUAGCUGUCCGUCAUUAGCUGGAAAUCUAACUUGCUGUAUUGAAGGAGUGGCCAACGGUUGAAUAUUACAUUGGCUUCCUAACCUUAACUACUGGUAUCCUCUCUGGAAAUCGGUACUACUACCGUAGAAGUAAUCGGAAGGCCUCUUCUGAUUAUUAAAUGUUAGAAAUUGCUGUCUGUCAUGGGCUUAUGGCGCAUUAUUUACUUGGUGAGGUAACGGCCCACCAACACAAUGAUGCGUACCCGGCCUGAGAGGUGGACUCGUCGCAUUGCUACUGACACACUCUCCAGACUCCUACUGAAGGCAACCAUACGCAAUUUUCCGCCUUGGUGGAAACCCUGACCUAUCUCCCCCGCGUGAGUGAUGACAGCCUUCGAGUUGUAAAGGUCUGUUGUAUUGGAACAACGUUAGAUACAUAAUAUCUAACUGACGGUACCUUAUCUCAAUUCCUCUGAUAACUACGUGUCAGCACCCACUCUACUACCUAAGUGGUGAGCGUUAUCCGUAAUUAUUGGACGUACAGGGUGCAUACGCGGCCUGUUAAUUAUGUGGUUAAGUUGUUGGUAUCAACCCAUUCCAUCCUCUUAUACUGGCACGCUAUAGUAUUGCAGAGGCAAGUGCAAUUCCAUGUGUAGCGGUAUAAAUGCGUAGAUAUAUGGAGGCACAACAGUGGCGUAAGGCGGCUUGCUAGCCAAAGACAGACGCUCAUGCACGAAAGCGUGGGGAGCAAAUACGAUUAGAUUCCGUAGUAGUUCACGCCGUAAACGAUGAAUACUAACUAUUGGGGAAAAUCAGUGUUGCAGCUAACGCAAUAAGUAUUCCGCCGGCGGAGUAUGCACGCAAGUGUGAAACAUAAAGGAAGUGACGGGGGCCCGCACACGCGGUGGCGUAUGUUGUUUAAUUAGAAGCAACGCGAAGAACCUUACCAGGCCUUGACAUCCCGUGCAAAGCUGUAGAGAUACAGUAGAGGUUAUCAAGGAGACAGGUGGUGCAUGGUCGUGGUCAGCUCGUGUCGGGAGGUGAGGGGCUAAGUCCCGCAUCGAGCGCAACCCUUGCCUUCAGUUACCAGCAUUCAGUAGGGGACUCCUGAGGGACUGCCGGUGAUAAACCGGAGGAAGGUGGGGAUGACGUCAAAUCAUCAUGCCCCUUAUGGCCUGGGAUACACACGUACUACAAUGGCUGUUACAACGUGCACCGACCUAGUGAUAGGAAGCCAAUCAGUAAAAGACAGUCUCAGUUAGGAGUGAAGUAUUCAACUGGACGUCACGAAGCUCGAAUCGCUGGUAAUCGCGGAUCAGAAUGCCGCCGGCGAAUACGUUCUCGGCCCGAGCACACACCGCCCGUCAA
This 1387-nucleotide ribosomal RNA is filed under the name uncultured bacterium. Its description in RNAcentral is "partial 16S ribosomal RNA". It matches the Rfam family "Bacterial small subunit ribosomal RNA". The record is from RNAcentral.